RNAcentral lists this transfer RNA (59 nucleotides) under Felis catus (domestic cat). The record is from Rfam by way of RNAcentral. Lineage: Eukaryota; Metazoa; Chordata; Mammalia; Carnivora; Felidae.
ACCUGGGUGGCUCAGUCAGUUGAGCGUCUGACUUCGGCUCAGGUCACGAUCCCCAGGUU